ACCAAACCUAGCCCAACAAACCACUCAACACAACUACUAUAACAAAACUAAAACAAAACAUUUACCAAACAUUAAAGUAUAGGAGAUAGAAAUUCUUAUCAACGGCGCUAUAGAAAAAGUACCGCAAGGGAAAGAUGAAAGACUACUUCACAGUAAAAAACAGCAAAGACUAACACUUGUACCUUUUGCAUAAUGGACUAACUAGAACACCCUUGGCAAAGAGCACUUCAGUCAAGAACCCCGAAACCAGACGAGCUACUUAUGGACAGUAAACAGAACCAACUCAUCUAUGUAGCAAAAUAGUGAGAAGAUCUAUAAGUAGAGGUGAAAAGCCAACCGAGCCUGGUGAUAGCUGGUUGUCCAGAACAGAAUAUUAGUUCAAUUUAAAAUUUACCCAAAGAACCAACAAAACUAUAAUCCUACUGUAAAUUUUAAACAUACUCAAUAGGGGUACAGCUCUAUUGAACCAAGGACUAAGCCUUAAACCAGAGAGUAAGCCACGGUAACUACCCAUAGUUGGCCUAAAAGCAGCCACCAAUAAAGAUAGCGUUAAAGCUCAAAAACUACCACCAAUAUUAAUCCAACAAAACACUAUGCAAUCUCCCGACACACUACACUGGACCAAUCUAUUACUUAAUAGAAGAGAUAAUGUUAGCAUCAGUAACAAGAAUACCUUCUCCAGGCAUAAGCGUACCUCAGACCGGAUACCCCACUGACAAUUAACAGCAAGGCAACUACAACCCACCAAACAACAACAUCCCACAACUACUGUUAACCCAACACAGGAAUGCCACACUGGAAAGAUGCAAAGAAAUAGAAGGAACUCGGCAAACACGAAUCCCGCCUGUUUACCAAAAACAUCACCUCUAGCAUUACAAUUAUUAGAGGCACUGCCUGCCCGGUGACAUAUGUUUAACGGCCGCGGUACCCUGACCGUGCAAAGGUAGCAUAAUCACUUGUUCUUUAAUUAAGGACCCGUAUGAAUGGCCAAACGAGGAUUCAACUGUCUCCUAUUUCCAAUCAGUGAAAUUGACCUUCCCGUGAAGAGGCGGGAAUAAACAUAUAAGACGAGAAGACCCUGUGGAGCUUAAAUUAGUUAGCUCAACAACAACUAAUAACCACCCGACAGGAACAAUCACACACGCACAUGAGCUACCAAUUUUGGUUGGGGUGACCUCGGAGCAAAACAAACCCUCCGAAAGAUAAGCACCAAGACAUACAAGUCAAAGUCUACCAUAUCACUAAUUGACCCAAAAUAUUGAUCAACGGAACAAGUUACCCCAGGGAUAACAGCGCAAUCCUAUUAUAGAGCCCAUAUCGACAAUAGGGUUUACGACCUCGAUGUUGGAUCAGGACAUCCAGAUGGUGCAGCCGCUAUCAAAGGUUCGUUUGUUCAACGAUUAAAGUCCUACGUGAUCUGAGUUCAGACCGGAGCAAUCCAGGUCGGUUUCUAUCUAUAACUAAUUUCUCCCAGUACGAAAGGACAAGAGAAAUGAGGCCAACUUGACACAAGCGCCUUAGAUCCAAAUAGAUGAAAUUAAUCUAAAUCUAGAUCGCACACACAACAACCAACACUCUAAACCAGAGAUUUU
Molecule: ribosomal RNA, 1592 nt
Filed under: Tolypeutes matacus
Lineage: Eukaryota; Metazoa; Chordata; Mammalia; Cingulata; Chlamyphoridae
Description: 16S ribosomal RNA
Rfam family: Bacterial large subunit ribosomal RNA
Source: RNAcentral